This 207-nucleotide ribosomal RNA is filed under the name uncultured bacterium. RNAcentral describes it as "partial 16S ribosomal RNA". It matches the Rfam family "Bacterial small subunit ribosomal RNA", at positions 568 to 773 of the family's 1533-position model. The record is from RNAcentral.
CUCGUAGGCGGUUCAGCAAGUCGGCUGUGAAAUUCCGAGGCUCAACCUCGGAACUGCAGUCGAUACUGCUGUGACUCGAGUCCGGUAGAGGAGAAUGGAAUUCCCGGUGUAGCGGUGAAAUGCGCAGAUAUCGGGAGGAACACCAGUAGCGAAGGCGGUUCUCUGGGCCGGUACUGACGCUGAGGAGCGAAAGCGUGGGGAGCAACA